Molecule: transfer RNA, 64 nt
Filed under: Epeorus sp. XL-2019
Lineage: Eukaryota; Metazoa; Arthropoda; Insecta; Ephemeroptera; Heptageniidae
Description: tRNA-Phe
Source: RNAcentral
GUUCAAAUAGCUUAUAUAGAGCAUGACACUGAAGAUGUCAGGGAGAUUUUAGGAUCUUUGAACA